CAGCAGCCACGGGAAUACGUAGGUGGCAAGCGUUGUCCGGAAUUACUGGGCGUAAAGGGAGCGUAGGCGGGUCGUUUAGUCAGAGGUGAAAUCCCGGGGCUCAACCUCGGAACUGCCUUUGAUACUGGCGACCUUGAGUAUGGGAGAGGUAAGUGGAACUCCGAGUGUAGAGGUGAAAUUCGUAGAUAUUCGGAAGAACACCAGUGGCGAAGACGACUUACUGGCCCAUUACUGACGCUGAGGCUCGAAAGCGUGGGGAGCAAACAGGAUUAGAUACCCGAGUAGUCCCUGUCUCUUAUAA
This 301-nucleotide ribosomal RNA is filed under the name uncultured bacterium. RNAcentral describes it as "partial 16S ribosomal RNA". It matches the Rfam family "Bacterial small subunit ribosomal RNA", at positions 509 to 809 of the family's 1533-position model. The record is from RNAcentral.